RNAcentral lists this ribosomal RNA (468 nucleotides) under uncultured bacterium. Its description in RNAcentral is "partial 16S ribosomal RNA". It matches the Rfam family "Bacterial small subunit ribosomal RNA", at positions 28 to 507 of the family's 1533-position model. The record is from RNAcentral.
GACGAACGCUGGCGGCGGGCUUAACACAUGCAAGUCGAACGGAAAGGCCCUGCUUUUGCGGGGUGCUCGAGUGGCGAACGGGUGAGUAACACGUGAGUAACCUGCCCUUGACUUUGGGAUAACUUCAGGAAACUGGGGCUAAUACCGGAUAGGAGCUCCUGCUGCAUGGUGGGGGUUGGAAAGCUUCGGCGGUUGGGGAUGGACUCGCGGCUUAUCAGCUUGUUGGUGGGGUAGUGGCUUACCAAGGCUUUGACGGGUAGCCGGCAUGAGAGGGUGACCGGCGACCUUGGGACUGAGAGACGGCCCAGACUCCUACGGGAGGCAGCAGUGGGGAAUAUUGUACAAUGGGGGGAAGCCUGAUGCAGAAACGCCGCGUGUGGGAUGACGGCCUUCGGGUUGUAAACCGCUUUCGCCUGUGACGAAGCGUGAGUGACGGUAAUGGGUAAAGAAGCACCGGCUAACUACGUG